UGGGGAAUUUUGGACAAUGGGCGAAAGCCUGAUCCAGCAAUGCCGCGUGUGUGAAGAAGGCCUUCGGGUUGUAAAGCACUUUUGUCCGGAAAGAAAUCCUUGGCUCUAAUACAGUCGGGGGAUGACGGUACCGGAAGAAUAAGCACCGGCUAACUACGUGCCAGCAGCCGCGGUAAUACGUAGGGUGCAAGCGUUAAUCGGAAUUACUGGGCGUAAAGCGUGCGCAGGCGGUUUGCUAAGACCGAUGUGAAAUCCCCGGGCUCAACCUGGGAACUGCAUUGGUGACUGGCAGGCUAGAGUAUGGCAGAGGGGGGUAGAAUUCCACGUGUAGCAGUGAAAUGCGUAGAGAUGUGGAGGAAUACCGAUGGCGAAGGCAGCCCCCUGGGCCAAUACUGACGCUCAUGCACGAAAGCGUGGGGAGCAAACAGGAUUAGAUACCCUGGUAGUCCACGCCCUAAACGAUGUCAACUAGUUGUUGGGGAUUCAUUUCCUUAGUAACGUAGCUAACGCGUGAAGUUGACCGCCUGGGGAGUACGGUCGCAAGAUUAAAACUCAAAGAAAUUGACGGGGUCAUAGCUGUUUCC
This 584-nucleotide ribosomal RNA is filed under the name uncultured bacterium. RNAcentral describes it as "partial 16S ribosomal RNA". It matches the Rfam family "Bacterial small subunit ribosomal RNA", at positions 355 to 937 of the family's 1533-position model. The record is from RNAcentral.